Long non-coding RNA from Gadus chalcogrammus (walleye pollock), 2478 nucleotides. RefSeq lists it as uncharacterized. Lineage: Eukaryota; Metazoa; Chordata; Actinopteri; Gadiformes; Gadidae. The transcript is spliced from 8 exons. The record is from RefSeq and is a predicted model, not a curated record.
GAUGACUGAGGAGGGAAACAACAGGAUCAGGAAUGGCGACUUGAACGUGAAUAACGAGAAUAACUAGAGAGGUCGGAGGAUAACUUAACCAGGUAAGUAUAGCUGACGAUCUGGCGACGAAUGGUUGAAUGACUGGGGAAGAUAUACAGGUGGGCGUGAUUGGUGAUGAUGGUCAGGUGCGGAUGAUCACCGUGGCUGGGUUGGGGAGUUCAGCAGGCCACGCCCCCGUACAUGAAACAGAACAUGACAGAGACAGACAAGACUAAAGGCGGCUGCAUGCUUCAGCGUUGGUGUUACGUUGUUGCGCAAAAUUUACUCAAAGCAAUUCAUGCUCCCUUUUAGGUUGCGCGUGUUGCGCGUGUUGCCAAGCAAUUUACCGCCAGAACAGUAGGUGGAGUAAUAUGUGGAGUAAAGUUUUUCGUUGAAGACGACCUCGAGAAUGACGUCUUUGUCUGUGGGAGUCGUUGGUUUGUUUAUGUGCCAGAUCGUGUUCUCCCCAUACACAGUGAAUGGUGGCAACAGACAGAGGAACAGGGGUGAUGAAGUUGUUCAUCAUUGGGGUUGUAUAAAUGUGCAUAUCUCUCUACAUUUUAAAACGACAUAAUGUGUUGGCAGCAAAGUUAACUUCACUUCACGUUAAUGCUUUUGUGUAUGAGCCUGCCGGGUCGUCCUUGCCUUCUGGCUUUUAAAAAUGGCGGUAUGAAAACAGGAAAUGUGAUACUCCAGACAGGAAGUAGUAACCAGACCAGCAGACCAAUCACAGGCUUGCAGGCUGCGCUGCUCGCGUAAAAGCUUACGUAAAAAAUGACGCAAGUCUAGAAAAAUCGCCCGACGCACGCAAGACGUGAGAAGUCGCGCAAGAGGUGCGCAAGGGCGCGCAAGGGCCUCUUGCGCUUGCGCUUAUGCUUACGUAACUGAGCAUAAAUCGGCCUUAACAGAGAAAACUAGUGGCAGCUAGGAUCCGGUGGGAGAAAACAUGACAAAUUCAGGCCGUGUUUGACUUUGUGGGACAAGAUGAUGGUGCGAGUGAAAUCUUUGUGGUACAAGAAGCCACAUCAUCAAGAUCAAUUGAGAGCAGUUCUGCCGGGUCAAUAAUCGAUCAUGGCAUAAAACCAUCCUCAACGCUAUACGUACUUUGGUUUUCAAAUCAGCAUGUACAGGAAAUUCUCUCGGGUCAAUGAAUUGAUGGUGCUCAUGCCCUAAACAAUCCUGGUCAGUCGUAGCUGUCUGAGCCCUCCACCCAGCCAAGUCUCUCUGUGUCCUCCACCCACUCACUGCUGUCUGAGCCCUCUCUCCAGCCACUACCAUCUGAGAACUCUAUCCAGCCAUCGCUCACUCUGAUCUCACAACCGCAAGAAAUCCUGACUGUUGAAGAACCAUCACUCCCUCCUUCACCUGCCCAGGAACCAAUCAUUCAUCUUGACGAACAAGAGACAGUUUCAUAAAAUCAGUCUCCUGUAUCAACACAUCACCUUGGAGGACCUGUGGAUGAGAUUGAUCUACAGACCAUCAGCAAAGUAGAUGACAACUUCUCUCCAACAAGCAACCAAAUAAAUGUGUGCCCGGACAAUGUUUUACUAUGUAGCCUGCGGGCGUUUAAACUGAAGUCCUUCGACCCUGAAGCAAAACUGGAUGUUGUCUUUGUGGAUGAAGAUGACAAUGGUGAAGGGGCAGUUGACGAAGGCGGCCCGACCAGAGAGUACCUAAGGCUGUUGAUGAGGGCCGUCCGCCAAUCAAACAUCUGUGAUGGACAUGAGAAAGAGCGGCAGUUGCGUCUUGAUACUCAAGCUUUACAGAGUAAACUGUACACCUGGGUGGGGAAAAUGAUUGCUGUGUGCGUCAUUCAUGGAGGAGUUGGUCCACAUUUCUUCUCGGAAAGGCUUUUCCAGCAAAUCUGUGGAGUAGAAACGACCCCGGCCACGGUCGAUGAAGUUGGCGACCAUACUUUGGCGGCAGCAGUUGAUGAAAAUACAGUAAGCAACAACAGUCAGAGAGGCAAACAACACAAUUACAGAGGCAGCAGAUAGUCUCAAUAUUGUAGGGGCCUUGAGACAUGUGUCCAGCCUUGAAGAGAAGGACUCCCUUGUCAAGUCAGCUGCUGACUUCUUUGUAAACGGCAGAUUGGCGACUGCCCUGGACCAGUUUGCUGAUGGGUUACAAACCCUUGGAUUACUCCAAGAGAUUAGGGAGAAUCCGGCAGUAUUCUUCCACUUCUUUGUAAAUGAGGAAAUUCCCCUUCAGGCAAAGGACCUGUGCAAGCUAUUUGUUGUAGACUUCUCAGUGCAAGGCAGCAACCGGAGAAACCGUGAAAAUGCAACCAUCUGCUUCUGGCGUGACUGGUUGAUUGACGUAGAAGAAGGAGAAUGCAGUCCAGUCACCCUUGAGAGGGUAUUGGAAUUUUCAUCUGGAGCCUCUAAAGUCCCUCCACUGGGAUUUCCAUACCCUCCUCAAAUCCAGUUCAUUCAUGAAGACAACCGA